GAUGGGACUACAGAUGCCCACCAUCACGCCCAGGAAACACAAGAGACCUAAGUGUUAAACAUCACCAUGGGAAUGCAAUCAGCAUGAUUCAGACUAUGAAAAACUACAUAACAACGCCAGUCUCAGAAGUAAUAAAGGAAAAAUAGCAACUUUACAGUGAAGAAAGCUGAAAGAUACCACCUCAAUGAAAUGAUCAAGGAUAGCACCAUCCUCAGACAAAAAUCAUAGAAUCAGAUGGCAGCAAAUAUGGCGGAGUAGAGAACACCAAUGGUCUAACCCUCCAAAAAGCAACAAAUACACUGGCAAAUACUGUCAGAACCAACCUUCUCGAAACUCCCGAAACUAAUGGAAAGCUUACAGCAAUCAGAUGACCAGUGGCCUUGAAGACAUCAGCCCACACUCCUGGUAGACAUACUCAGUACCAGAGGGAACUGAAUAGGCCUUAUUCUUUAAUAAAAA
Molecule: long non-coding RNA, 459 nt
Filed under: Homo sapiens (human)
Lineage: Eukaryota; Metazoa; Chordata; Mammalia; Primates; Hominidae
Description: HSALNT0342184
Source: RNAcentral